RNAcentral lists this long non-coding RNA (1221 nucleotides) under Medicago truncatula (barrel medic). RNAcentral's name for it is "lncRNA gene26041". The record is from RNAcentral. Lineage: Eukaryota; Viridiplantae; Streptophyta; Magnoliopsida; Fabales; Fabaceae.
UCUAAAUUAAGCAAUACUUUAAUACUACUAUACUUUUCUAUGUACUUACACAGGGCAGAAUGUAGUGGAAUUUAAAUGACCUCUAAUUCUGAAAUGCCAUAAUUUCCCUUUAGAAUACAACAAAUUCUCAUCACAAAGAAACUCCCAAGAAAACCAUUUUUCUAUCAUUCGAUCUACAUCAUGUACAAGUACAUCUGAACCAUUCCCACCUCUAGCUAGAACACUAGCAGUGUAAAUGGAUGCCAUUCUACCAGGUGACUCGGUCGAAAGGCCACUCGGUCCAUCGACCACUAUGACAUCCCAAUUCUUCUCAUAUACUAUUGCAGGCAAAUUUUUCAAUGCAAGUUUACAUUUUGAUGUUUGAAGGUGUCUUGAGUUUGGUGUACAUGCUGGAUUGUUUCUUGCAUGUUUGAGUAGUUUAUAAGCUUCUUUUGUUGGUACAUUAUAGUUGAAGUUGUAUAUUUGAGUGUUGUUGAAGUUAGUUGUUACCUUUCUUGUUGUUGUUUUGUCGUGGUUAUCGUCGAGAAAGAUGGUGUUGCCUGCUUCAUUCAUUGAUGAGAGGAUAAGGAAUUGUGGUUGAAAACCAAAUAUGAGAAGGUUGCAAGGUGAUUUAAGAGCAAUUAAAUUUGAUAAAACUUUGAAUUCUUUCUCUUUGAAAGUGGUUGUAAUGUUGGAGGAUUCAUGUGUAUGUGAUGCAAUAAUUUUGUUGUAGGUGGAAAAAGGUGUAGAAGUAGUUUUAAUAUUGAGACUAAGAAUUCUAAAGAUUGAUAUGGUUGAGAGGAACAAAACAAGGAUAGGGAUGAGUUUCUUUUUUGUGAGAUUCAUCCUUUUUGUUACUUUUUGAUAUUUGUGAAAUAUAGAAGGUUGAUUUUCUUUUACUUGAGUUGUGUGUGGAGGUGAAAAUUGAACAAGAGGACGAAUAUGAAGUAUAUCAGGGGGCAUCUUGGAUAUUUUUUUUUCUCUUUCUUUAGUGCACCAAUGUUGUUACAUUAUGUAUUUCUUAUGGUGUUGUGUGCUUUUGAUGAUGAUAAUAGAUAUUCUUAUGUGCACCUUGUUGAGUAGAGAGGAAGGGAUGUUUUUGCUUUUGUUACAAGUUUCACUUUUUUGUUACCUAAAUUUUAUAUUGCUGGUUGAAAAAUGUGUCUUUCUUGUAUAGAAAGAUAUGUUCAUAUGAAUCUUUUUCUUUUGGUGCUGACAUGCGUCCUUAAGUUUGGUUUAUUG